This 445-nucleotide ribosomal RNA is filed under the name uncultured bacterium. RNAcentral's name for it is "partial 16S ribosomal RNA". It matches the Rfam family "Bacterial small subunit ribosomal RNA", at positions 354 to 796 of the family's 1533-position model. The record is from RNAcentral.
GUGAGGAAUAUUGGACAAUGGGCGCAAGCCUGAUCCAGCCAUGCCGCGUGCAGGAAGACGCAUCUAUGGUGUGUAAACUGCUUUUGUACGGGAAGAAACACUCCCUCGUGAGGGAGCUUGACGGUACCGUAAGAAUAAGGAUCGGCUAACUCCGUGCCAGCAGCCGCGGUAAUACGGAGGAUCCAAGCGUUAUCCGGAAUCAUUGGGUUUAAAGGGUCCGUAGGCGGUUUAAUAAGUCAGUGGUGAAAGCCCAUCGCUCAACGAUGGAACGGCCAUUGAUACUGUUAGACUUGAAUUUCAAGGAAGUAACUAGAAUAUGUAGUGUAGCGGUGAAAUGCUUAGAUAUUACAUGGAAUACCAAUUGCGAAGGCAGGUUACUACUUGUGGAUUGACGCUGAUGGACGAAAGCGUGGGGAGCGAACAGGAUUAGAAACCCCUGUAGUCC